Molecule: ribosomal RNA, 212 nt
Filed under: uncultured bacterium
Lineage: Bacteria
Description: partial 16S ribosomal RNA
Rfam family: Bacterial small subunit ribosomal RNA
Source: RNAcentral
UACGUAGGGGCCUAGCGUUGUCCGGAAUUACUGGGCGUAAAGCGCGUGUAGGUGGUGGACAAGUCGUGCUGACUGAAGCGCCUGGCUUAACCGGGCGAGGUCGGCGGAAACCAUCUGGCUAGAGUCCGGAAGAGGAGAGUGGAAUUCCUGGUGUAGCGGUGAAAUGCGCAGAUAUCAGGAAGAACACCCCGUGGCUAAGGCGGCUCUCUAGU